This 218-nucleotide ribosomal RNA is filed under the name uncultured bacterium. RNAcentral describes it as "partial 16S ribosomal RNA". It matches the Rfam family "Bacterial small subunit ribosomal RNA", at positions 326 to 539 of the family's 1533-position model. The record is from RNAcentral.
ACGCUCGACACCUACGGGAAGCAGCAGUGAGGAAUAUUGGUCAAUGGGCGCUAGCCUGAACCAGCCAAGUAGCGUGAAGGAUGAAGGCUCUAUGGGUCGUAAACUUCUUUUAUAUAAGAAUAAAGUGCAGUAUGUAUACUGUUUUGUAUGUAUUAUAUGAAUAAGGAUCGGCUAACUCCGUGCCAGUAGCCGCGGUAAUCUGAGCGGGCUGGCAAGGC